RNAcentral lists this unclassified non-coding RNA (251 nucleotides) under Hevea brasiliensis (rubber tree). Lineage: Eukaryota; Viridiplantae; Streptophyta; Magnoliopsida; Malpighiales; Euphorbiaceae. The record is from RNAcentral.
UGAAAGUUGUCGAAGUUUGGUUGAUGCUAAAAAGAUAGUGCAAGAAAGUCUUGCUGAUGUCAUUAACAUUAAGCUUGCCAAAGUUGGGGUGCUUGGGGCUCUGGAAAUUAUUGACUUGGUGAGGUCCUCGGGCUUAAAUCUGAUGAUCGGUGGUAUGGUUGAAACCAGGCUUGCCAUGGGCUUUGCUGGUCAUCUAGCCGCUGGCCUUGGAUGUUUCAAAUUCAUUGACCUAGACACACCCCUUCUGUUGG